This 239-nucleotide ribosomal RNA is filed under the name uncultured bacterium. RNAcentral's name for it is "partial 16S ribosomal RNA". It matches the Rfam family "Bacterial small subunit ribosomal RNA", at positions 15 to 236 of the family's 1533-position model. The record is from RNAcentral.
GAUCAUGGCUCAGGAUGAACGCUGGCGGCGUGCCUAACACAUGCAAGUCGAACGAGGCUGAUUAGAAUGAGAUUUCGGUUGAUUUCUAUGAAAGUCGAGUGGCGGACGGGUGAGUAACACGUGGGUAACCUGCCUUACAGAGGGGGAUAACAGUUUGAAAAGACUGCUAAUACCGCAUAAGCACACAGUACCGCAUGGUACGGGGUGAAAAGAUUUAUCGCUGUAAGAUGGACCCGCGU